GAUGAACGCUAGCGACAGGCUUAACACAUGCAAGUCGAGGGGCAGCACGGGAGUAGCAAUACAACUGGUGGCGACCGGCGCACGGGUGAGUAACGCGUAUGCAACCUACCUAUCAGAGGGGAAUAACCCGGCGAAAGUCGGACUAAUACCGCAUAAAACAGGGGCACCGCAUGGUGAUAUUUGUUAAAGAAAUUCGCUGAUAGAUGGGCAUGCGUUCCAUUAGGUAGUUGGUGAGGUAACGGCUCACCAAGCCGACGAUGGAUAGGGGAACUGAGAGGUUGGUCCCCCACACUGGUACUGAGACACGGACCAGACUCCUACGGGAGGCAGCAGUGAGGAAUAUUGGUCAAUGGGGCGGGAGCCUGAACCAGCCAAGUCGCGUGAAGGAAGAAGGAUCUAUGGUUCGUAAACUUCUUUUGCAGGGGAAUAAAGUGCAGGACGUGUCCUGUUUUGUAUGUACCCUGAGAAUAAGGAUCGGCUAACUCCGUGCCAGCAGCCGCGGUAAA
This 506-nucleotide ribosomal RNA is filed under the name uncultured bacterium. RNAcentral's name for it is "bacterial SSU rRNA". It matches the Rfam family "Bacterial small subunit ribosomal RNA", at positions 28 to 524 of the family's 1533-position model. The record is from RNAcentral.